UGGGGAAUAUUGGACAAUGGGCGAAAGCCUGAUCCAGCCAUGCCGCGUGUGUGAAGAAGGUCUUCGGAUUGUAAAGCACUUUAAGUUGGGAGGAAGGGCAUUAACCUAAUACGUUAGUGUUUUGACGUUACCGACAGAAUAAGCACCGGCUAACUCUGUGCCAGCAGCCGCGGUAAUACAGAGGGUGCAAGCGUUAAUCGGAAUUACUGGGCGUAAAGCGCGCGUAGGUGGUUUGUUAAGUUGGAUGUGAAAUCCCCGGGCUCAACCUGGGAACUGCAUUCAAAACUGACUGACUAGAGUAUGGUAGAGGGUGGUGGAAUUUCCUGUGUAGCGGUGAAAUGCGUAGAUAUAGAACAGAACACCAGUGGCGAAGGCGACCACCUGGACUAAUACGAAAAAGGAGGUGCGAAAGAGUGGGGAGCAAAAA
Molecule: ribosomal RNA, 427 nt
Filed under: uncultured bacterium
Lineage: Bacteria
Description: partial 16S ribosomal RNA
Rfam family: Bacterial small subunit ribosomal RNA
Source: RNAcentral